Molecule: ribosomal RNA, 1136 nt
Filed under: uncultured organism
Description: bacterial SSU rRNA
Rfam family: Bacterial small subunit ribosomal RNA
Source: RNAcentral
ACGUGGGUGACCUGCCCCGAAGACGGGGAUAACCGUUGGAAACGACGGCUAAUACCCGAUAUACUCGGUGAUUCGGUUCAUCGAGUAAAGGCUCCGGUGCUUCGGGAUGGGCCUGCGGCCUAUCAGCUAGUUGGUGGGGUAAUGGCCCACCAAGGCGAAGACGGGUAGGGGGCGUGAGAGCGCGGCCCCCCACACUGGCACUGAGAUACGGGCCAGACUUCUACGGAAGGCAGCAGUCGGGGAUAUUGCACAAUCGGCGAAAGCCGGAUGCAGCGACGCCGCGUGGGCGAUGAAGGCCUUCGGGUUGUAAAGCCCUUUUAUGGGGGAAGAGACAAGGACGGUACCCCAAGAAUAAGCGUCGGCUAACUACGUGCCAGCAGCCGCGGUAAAACGUAGGACGCAAGCGUUAUCCGGAUUUACUGGGCGUAAAGAGCGUUGAGGCGGUUCCGUAAGUUGGGCGUGAAAGCCCCGGGCUUAACCCGGGGAGGUCGUUCAAUACUGCGGGACUUGAGGGCAGCAGAGGGAGGCGGAAUUCCCGGUGUAGCGGUGAAAUGCGUAGAUAUCGGGAGGAACACCAGUGGCGAAGGCGGCCUCCUGGGCUGUUUCUGACGCUGAAGGCGAAAGCUAGGGGAGCGAACGGGAUUAGAAACCCCGGUAGUCCUAGCCGUAAACGAUGGAUGCUGGGUGUGGGGGGUAUAGAUCCCCUCCGUGCUGAAGCUAACGCGUUAAGCAUCCCGCCUGGGGAUUACGGCCGCAAGGCUUAAACUCAAACGAAUUGACGGGGGCCCGCACAAGCAGCGGAGCGUGUGGUUUAAUUCGAUGCUACACGAAGAACCUUACCUGGGCUUGACAUGUAGGUAGUAGUGAAGCGAAAGCGGAACGACCCUUCGGGGAGCCUACACAGGUGCUGCAUGGCUGUCGUCAGUUCGUGCCGUGAGGUAUCGGGUUAAGUCCCGUAACGAACGCAACCCUUGCCCUUAGUUACAUGUGUCUAAGGGGACUGCCCGGGACAACUGGGAGGAAGGUGGGGAUGACGUCAAGUCAGCAUGGCCUUUAUGUCCAGGGCUACACACACGCUACAAUGGCCGGUACAAUGGGUCGCCAAGCCGUGAGGCGGAGCCAAUCCCCCAAAGCCG